AUAUUCUAGUCAGUUCAUUCAAGUGUGAGAAUCGCACCAUUUGCACGCAAUAAAUUUCAAUUAUCAAUAAUAAAUUGUUGAACUUAAAAACAACUAUAAUGAAGAUCGUUAUUGCAUCAGCGGCUAUUUUAUGCUUAUUAAUCGCUACCAGCUGUUACGGACAAAGUCAUAAUGCAUUUUGGGGAGCUCCAGCAUGGAACGAUACCAGAAUAUUUUAUCAACACGUUAAUGUAUCAUCAUCGUUUUUACAAGUCAUCACUCGAGAUGUUGCAUUCCCUAGUGCUGGCUACGUUAAUAACCGGAGGAUAACAGCAAUUCGUGCAUUUGAUCAAAAAACAAACGGAAAUGGUGCAUAUGCAACGAUUAAAUCCGGUGGAAUAAAUGCAACCAGCACCGUUGUAACUUUUAAAUCUCAACGAAGUCAUGGCAUCAACUUUAUUCUGGAAAUUUAUGUUAGGUAGAGAGACUUAGUGAACAAUUCUGAAAUGAAAACAUUAAUUAAGAUUCGAA
Bradysia coprophila is the source of this 510-nucleotide long non-coding RNA. NCBI's taxonomy places the organism in Eukaryota, Metazoa, Arthropoda, Insecta, Diptera, Sciaridae. The record is from RefSeq and is a predicted model, not a curated record.